UGUGGUGUAGCUCAAUUGGAAAGAGCGCCCCUCGCAUGGGGAGGUGAGCACUAUCCGGGGAUCAUGACCUGGGAUAUCUCAUACGGCUGGCCAGACGUUAUCCGGGUUCAAGUCCCGGCCCCACAA
This 126-nucleotide transfer RNA is filed under the name Salmonella enterica. RNAcentral's name for it is "tRNA-Ala". It matches the Rfam family "tRNA". Rfam says of the family: Transfer RNA (tRNA) molecules are approximately 80 nucleotides in length. Their secondary structure includes four short double-helical elements and three loops (D, anti-codon, and T loops). Lineage: Bacteria; Pseudomonadati; Pseudomonadota; Gammaproteobacteria; Enterobacterales; Enterobacteriaceae. The record is from RNAcentral.